RNAcentral lists this ribosomal RNA (743 nucleotides) under uncultured bacterium. RNAcentral describes it as "bacterial SSU rRNA". It matches the Rfam family "Bacterial small subunit ribosomal RNA", at positions 28 to 764 of the family's 1533-position model. The record is from RNAcentral.
AUUGAACGCUGGCGGCAUGCUUUACACAUGCAAGUCGAGCGGCAGCGCGGGGGCAACCCUGGCGGCGAGCGGCGGACGGGUGAGUAGAGCAUCGGAACGUAUCCCGUAGUGGGGGACAACCCAGCGAAAGCUGGGCUAAUACCGCAUAUGCUCUACGGAGGAAAGUGGGGGACCUGCAAGGGCCUCACGCUAUGGGAGCGGCCGAUGUCCGAUUAGCUUGUUGGUGGGGUAAUGGCCCACCAAGGCGACGAUCGGUAGCUGGUCUGAGAGGAUGAUCAGCCACACUGGGACUGAGACACGGCCCAGACUCCUACGGGAGGCAGCAGUGGGGAAUUUUGGACAAUGGGGGCAACCCUGAUCCAGCCAUGCCGCGUGCGGGAAGAAGGCCUUCGGGUUGUAAACCGCUUUUGUCUGGGAAGAAAAGGCCUUGGCUAAUACCUGGGGUUCUUGACGGUACUGGAAGAAUAAGCACCGGCUAACUACGUGCCAGCAGCCGCGGUAAUACGUAGGGUGCGAGCGUUAAUCGGAAUUACUGGGCGUAAAGCGUGCGCAGGCGGUGAGUUAAGUCUGAUGUGAAAGCCCCGGGCUCAACCUGGGAACGGCAUUGGAAACUGGCUCGCUGGAGUGUGGCAGAGGGGGGUGGAAUUCCGCGUGUAGCAGUGAAAUGCGUAGAGAUGCGGAGGAACACCGAUGGCGAAGGCAGCCCCCUGGGCCAACACUGACGCUCAGGCACGAAAGCGUGG